RNAcentral lists this ribosomal RNA (465 nucleotides) under uncultured bacterium. RNAcentral describes it as "partial 16S ribosomal RNA". It matches the Rfam family "Bacterial small subunit ribosomal RNA", at positions 28 to 507 of the family's 1533-position model. The record is from RNAcentral.
AGCGAACGCUGGCGGCAUGCCUAACACAUGCAAGUCGCACGGGUCGGCUUCGGCCGGGCAGUGGCGGACGGGGGAGGAACGCGGAGGGAUCUGUCAGCUGGUGGGGGAUAACCGCGGGAAACCGCGGCGAAGACCGCACGGGGCGCCGGUGUGAGAGCCGGCGGCAAGGGCGGGCAUCGCAAGGUGUGUGUGGCCGGGGGGUGAGCCUGCGUCCGCUUAGCGGGUGGGCGGGGUAGGGGCCCACCGAGGCGUCGGGCGGUAGCUGGUCUGAGAGGGAGCUCCGCCACACUUGGACUGCGACCCGGCCCAGACUCCUACGGGAGGCAGCAGUGGGGAAUAUUGGGCGAUGGGCGCAAGCCUGAUCCCGCCAUGCCGCGUGGGUGAAGCAGGUCUUCGGAUUGUACAGCCCUUUCGGCGGGGACGAUGGUGACGGUACCCGCAGAAGAAGCCCCGGCUAACUUCGUG